Molecule: ribosomal RNA, 497 nt
Filed under: uncultured bacterium
Lineage: Bacteria
Description: partial 16S ribosomal RNA
Rfam family: Bacterial small subunit ribosomal RNA
Source: RNAcentral
GAUGAACGCUGGCGGCGUGCCUAAUACAUGCAAGUCGAGCGAACAGAUAAGGAGCUUGCUCCUUUGACGUUAGCGGCGGACGGGUGAGUAACACGUGGGUAACCUAUCUAUAAGACUGGAAUAACUCCGGGAAACCGGGGCUAAUGCCGGAUAACAUGUUGAACCGCAUGGUUCUACAGUGAAAGGCGGCUUUGCUGUCACUUAUAGAUGGACCCGCGCCGUAUUAGCUAGUUGGUGAGGUAACGGCUCACCAAGGCAACGAUACGUAGCCGACCUGAGAGGGGGAUCGGCCACACUGGAACUGAGACACGGUCCAGACUCCUACGGGAGGCAGCAGUAGGGAAUCUUCCGCAAUGGGCGAAAGCCUGACGGAGCAACGCCGCGUGAGUGAUGAAGGUCUUCGGAUCGUAAAACUCUGUUAUUAGGGAAGAACAAAUGCGUAAGUAACUGUGCGCGUCUUGACGGUACCUAAUCAGAAAGCCACGGCUAACUACGUG